GCUCUUGUUGUUUCACAGGACAUGCACAAUCAACUUCUUCAGUAGAAAUAGACAAUGGACCAAAUAUAUAGACAGUGGACGCAAAAUCAUAUUUUUGGCACAAAUGGAACUCCAUACGGUCCAGCCUCAGCCAGACUCCGCCUUCAUUGGCCCCAAGGACUCUGAAGGGUCUUCAGGCCUGAAUGUUUACUGAGAAUAGGAAGUGCAUGGAUUCCUGCAGGAGGACACGCUCGGCCCCGUAUGGAGAGGGUGGAUGGGUGCUGCCGGCGCUGGCACUUGACAAACAGCCUGUUUUAAUGCUCCUCACAACCCUGUGAGACGAGUCCCUCCUCACAACACACUGCGCCCCUUUCAAACACGGCUGUAAGUCUCAAACAGGAGGUGAAUCCACCCACCCUUCCAGAGUAAAAGCAUCUUAAGUGUAAGAAAAAAAUAUUUGCUAAAAUUAUGUCUUGAGUUUAUGAAACACAAAAAAGCGAGAUGAACCGGAGUGUAAGUGUGUGUGUUUUUUAAUUUUUUUUAGGCUUUGUGUGUGAAUGGGGGGAUUUGCCACCUGCUUGUUGUCAGGCUGUCUGAACACACAGUGGCAAAGUGCUGCUGGAAGAAUCGGUUCCCCCGUGUACUACAAUAUCCUGUUUGCGCUGCACCGCUCUCCCCGCGCCUCCGCACACAUGCAUGCACACGCAGCCUGCAACUCAAGCCCCCACCUCCCUCCCGAGCUGAAAACACACAGCUUUGUUUUCACUGCCUUUUUUGCACACACGUCCACAGAUCAGGCGCAGCGAUUCUGAUACGGCGGGAGAGAAAAAGAUGCGUUUACGGGAGGGUGACGAUCUGCAAUAAUAAUUUGCACUUUUACUGCAAAAGUAUUGGGAUUCCCAGGAGAGAAGAACAAUGCUCACUCUGACUUCGUUUAGGAGCCAACAAAUCACUUUUCGCACUUAGUGACACAAAGUUUAUGCAAUAAAAUGAUUAAGAAAAGGGAAGCUGCUUCUCGUAAGCUCGAUAAAAAUAUUUUUUUAAAAAAAGGAAAAAGAAAGGAACGGGGAUUGGCCUAAAGGCAGAUACCAGCUCACUUCCCAACAGAGAGCAGCGCAUUUCCUGAAACUGACAUAGUACAUAGUGAGGCCUGACUUACCGUGAAAGAGAAAGAGGGAGGGGGAGAAAAAGGGAACGGGAUUUGACUUACUGUCAGAGAAAAAGUGUAAAUAAUAUAAUAACUCAAAGAAAAAAUGUUUGUUUUUCAGUAAUUCUUCAUUUUUAGGUCAUUUUUAAUCAUAAACUUAAAGAAAAAAUAGAAAACUUUGAGAGAACAGAGUAGAAAUAAUGUAUCAAGUGUGUGAUUUAAUUCUUUUUUAUUACGUAAGAACAAAAAACUGAAUUAAAGCAACUAAAUUAGAAACAAUUACAAAGGUAACAACAUCCAAUAUGCUGACAUCUGUUUUAUUUAAUUUAUAUAUUUUUGGCUGGCUGAGCCUAUUUGAGACACUUAAAAUAAAUCAAAUUAAACCAAUAGUGAAUGGAUCCAAAGCAGGAAACUUCCUGGUGUUGCAACACCACAGCCUGCUGGUCACAGAGGGGAUUAUAUUUAUCCAGCCCCCUCCUCCAAACACUGCCAUCCUACCAAAUGUUGGAUUCAUAGAGUCUUUAUUUCACAUAAAAUAAACAUUAAAUGUAAAUGAUACACACGUUGAAGUGUAUCAGUGGUAAGCUAGAUAUAAAAAUGUAAUAAAGUUGAUUUUUCUGAAACAGUUUGCAAGAAUCUAAAUGAUAAAAUAUGAUGCUAAAAAUAAAAAAAGGCUAUUUUUUAAAUCUAGUGUUUACAUUUUAAAGGUACAUAUUAUUUCAUUAUUUUGGGUCAAGUUAAUUCCAAAGUCAUUUCAUGCCUGAAUUUAUUAACAGCUUUAAAAAAAUUUAAGUAACUUUUCACACAUAAUCGGGGGGAGGUUAAGGUUAAAAUCAUAGACAGUUUAUAGAAAACUGGACAUAUAAUCCCCCCCCUCCCCCUUUAUGUUCCAAACAGGAAGUACCUGCUGGUCCCAGAAAGCCAAAAUCCAAUAGGCUUUUAUUGAGAAAUAAACAUUACUUAGUCAGAAUAACCAUUCUUGCUCUGGUAUCUCUUUUUAACAUGUUCUUGCUAAACCUAUUUUUUUUCAUAUCUUUUUUUUUAGUUAUCCAAGUUUCAAACUGACCAAUCAGAUGCCUCAAUAGAAGUAUGUUAUGCCCGCUAGCCCCCACCUUGAACACCUUGAAUGGUCGACACAUUUGAUUGACAGAUUCUCCUGACUGCUUUCAGUGGAAGGGGUGUGGCUUUCUAACAAGCUCACUCCUGAUUAGCGAGAGUGGUUGCCAUGGAAAUGAUUACUCAGACCAACUUGGACCAAUCACUCCAUACUGAUGUUGUCUGGUUCCAAAAUGACGAAGUCCGUACCGUAGUAAAAUGGCGACUGAAUUGAAUUCAUUUAGUUGGAUGUAAGGCAUUUUCUAUUGGUGACAUCACCGGCGCUUUGUCCAUCUCUAUAUAUGUCAAUGGUUAAAACUGACAGCAAAGUGCAUUUUUGAAGUAAAUGAAUGAAUGAAUAAAUACACUUCCAUUCAUUUUUGUGCAAGUAAAUAUAUGCGAAUAAAACCUGAUUUUGCUUUAGUGUAGAUGCUAAAUGAAAGUAAGUUUAAGUGAUUUGAUGCAUAUUUGCAUCAAGAAGCGUCAAGAGGUUUAAAUGAAAAAAGUUGAGCAAAAAUAAGUCAAAAUUGUAAAAAAAAAAAAAA
Long non-coding RNA from Oryzias melastigma (Indian medaka), 2766 nucleotides. RefSeq lists it as uncharacterized. The record is from RefSeq and is a predicted model, not a curated record. The transcript has 2 exons. Lineage: Eukaryota; Metazoa; Chordata; Actinopteri; Beloniformes; Adrianichthyidae.